This 485-nucleotide ribosomal RNA is filed under the name uncultured bacterium. Its description in RNAcentral is "bacterial SSU rRNA". It matches the Rfam family "Bacterial small subunit ribosomal RNA", at positions 29 to 531 of the family's 1533-position model. The record is from RNAcentral.
AAUGAACGUUGGCGGCGUGGAUUAGGCAUGCAAGUCGAGCGCUCAUAGCAAUAUGGGAGCGGCGAACGGCGUAGUAAUGCAUCGGAACGUACCCUUCGGUCGGGGAUAGCCACGGGAAACUGUGGGUAAUACCCGAUGAUAUCUGCGGAUCAAAGGUGAGAUUCCGCCGGAGGAGCGGCUGAUGUGAUAUUAGCUUGAUGGUGGGGUAAUGGCCUACCAUGGCGAUGAUGUCUAGGGGGUGUGAGAGCAUGGCCCCCCACGACCGGAACUGAGACACUGUCCGGACACCUACGGGUGGCUGCAGUCGAGAAUCUUCCGCAAUGGACGAAAGUCUGACGGAGCGACGCCGCGUGCGGGAUGAAGGCCCUUGGGUUGUAAACCGCUGUCAGAGGGGAUGAAAUCUCCGGGGGUACUCCCCCGGAGUUGACAGAGCCUCAAAGGAAGCACGGGCUAAGUACGUGCCAGCAGCCGCGGUAAAGUCUAGC